GAUGAACGCUGGCGGCGUGCCUAAUACAUGCAAGUCGAGCGAACGGACGAGAAGCUUGCUUCUCGGAUGUUAGCGGCGGACGGGUGUGUAACACGUGGAUAACCUACUUAUAAGACUGGGAUCACUUCGGGAAACCGGAGCUAAUCCCGGAUGAUCUUUUGAACCGCAUGGUUCAAAGGUGAAAGACGGUCUUGCUGUCACUUAUAGAUGCAUCCGCGCUGCAUUAGCUAGUUGGUAAGGUAACGGCUUACCAAGGCAACGAUGCAUAGCCGACCUGAGAGAGGGGUCGGCCACACUGGAACGGAGACGCGGUCCAGACUACUGCGGGAGGCAGCAGUAGGGAAUCUGCCGCAAUGGGCGAAAGCCUGACGGAGCAACGCCACGUGAGUUAUGAAGGUCUUCGGAGCGUAAAACUCGGUUAUGAGGGAAGAACAGAUGUGUAAGGAACUGUGCACAUCGUGACGGUACCUGAUCAGAAAGCCACGGCUAACUACGUG
RNAcentral lists this ribosomal RNA (497 nucleotides) under uncultured bacterium. RNAcentral's name for it is "partial 16S ribosomal RNA". It matches the Rfam family "Bacterial small subunit ribosomal RNA", at positions 28 to 507 of the family's 1533-position model. The record is from RNAcentral.